CAACACUUUGUCUCAAAUUUCCAUUAGCGCGAACAACGUUAGCAGACUAUAAUAAUCAAGAGUCGCAUUAAACGUGAAGAAUUAGAAUGGCAAAAAUGAUAUUGCUUCUGUUAUUUUGUUUCUUCGCCAUCUCGUGUCAAUAUCACAAAAUAGGCGAGUACAAGUCGAAUGCUAGAAAAGGAGGCGGUAAUUGGUCGAACCUACCGAAUGAAAAUACCAAAAAAAAAGAAAGAAAAGAUAAAACAAGAGACUUUGAAAAUCUACAAAUAGAAGACUAUACGAAUGUUCUGCAAGAAGUUCUUGAAGAUUUUUACUAACUGUGAAUUUAUUUCAAGCCAUUUAGGGCGGGAGGGAGGGGGGUUGAAAUAUGCGAAACCUUUCUUGUCUUUCUUUAGAGCUAUAAGUGUGGCAUGCCUUACUGAAAUGACGGAGCUUUUUGUUAGUAUACUCGGACAAAACAAAUGUUUUUUAAUUUUAAAUCUUACCAAUGGCUGGUCAUUUUAAUAUAUUCAGUAUUCAAAUAAUUAUAUCCAGUAUUUCAGUUAACUUUUAUCAGUUUUUGUAACUUUUGUAUACGACCUCAGAAAGUAAACGGAUAAAUGGCAUUACAAUGAUAUACUAUAAAUAAUAUACUAAUGUUAUCUAAGCAAACUUGCACUAUAUGUAAUAAUUGUAAUAAAAUACGUUGUUAAUGUACAAUAUUGUUCAUUUGUUAUAAAUGUGCACCAUCAAAAUAUGA
Molecule: non-coding RNA, 739 nt
Organism: Styela clava
Lineage: Eukaryota; Metazoa; Chordata; Ascidiacea; Stolidobranchia; Styelidae
Source: RefSeq, a predicted model, not a curated record